AACGAACGCUGGCGGCAUGCCUAACACAUGCAAGUCGAACGAGACCUUCAGGUCUAGUGGCGCACGGGUGCGUAACGCGUGGGAACCUGCACUUAGGUUCGGAAUAACUCCCCGAAAGGGGUGCUAAUACCGGAUAAUGUCUUCGGACCAAAGAUUUAUCGCCUUUGGAUGGGCCCGCGUUGGAUUAGCUAGUUGGUAGGGUAAAAGCCUACCAAGGCGACGAUCCAUAGCUGGUCUGAGAGGAUGAUCAGCCACACUGGGACUGAGACACGGCCCAGACUCCUACGGGAGGCAGCAGUGGGGAAUAUUGGACAAUGGGCGAAAGCCUGAUCCAGCAAUGCCGCGUGAGUGAUGAAGGCCUUAGGGUUGUAAAGCUCUUUUACCCGGGAUGAUAAUGACAGUACCGGGAGAAUAAGCUCCGGCUAACUCCGUG
Molecule: ribosomal RNA, 433 nt
Filed under: uncultured bacterium
Lineage: Bacteria
Description: partial 16S ribosomal RNA
Rfam family: Bacterial small subunit ribosomal RNA
Source: RNAcentral